GAUGAACGCUAGCGGCAGGCCUAACACAUGCAAGUCGAGGGGUAGAGUUAGCUUGCUAACUUGAGACCGGCGCACGGGUGCGUAACGCGUAUGCAAUCUACCUUGUACAGAGGGAUAGCCCAGAGAAAUUUGGAUUAAUACCUCAUAGUAUCUUUACCUGGCAUCGGGUAAUUAUUAAAGUUCCAACGGUACAAGAUGAGCAUGCGUCCCAUUAGUUAGUUGGUAAGGUAACGGCUUACCAAGACAAUGAUGGGUAGGGGUCCUGAGAGGGAGAUCCCCCACACUGGUACUGAGACACGGACCAGACUCCUACGGGAGGCAGCAGUGAGGAAUAUUGGUCAAUGGACGCAAGUCUGAACCAGCCAUGCCGCGUGCAGGAAGACGGUCCUAUGGAUUGUAAACUGCUUUUGUACGGGAAGAAACACCCCCUCGUGAGGGGGCGUUGACGGUACCGUAAGAAUAAGGAUCGGCUAACUCCGUGCCAGCAGCCACGGUAAU
Molecule: ribosomal RNA, 498 nt
Filed under: uncultured bacterium
Lineage: Bacteria
Description: bacterial SSU rRNA
Rfam family: Bacterial small subunit ribosomal RNA
Source: RNAcentral